Molecule: signal recognition particle RNA, 297 nt
Filed under: Candidatus Woesearchaeota archaeon
Lineage: Archaea; Nanobdellati; Candidatus Woesearchaeota
Description: signal recognition particle sRNA
Rfam family: Archaeal signal recognition particle RNA
Source: RNAcentral
AUGCAGGCUAGGCCGGUGCAUCAGUCCUGCAUUGUCACCGCAAACGGACUUCAUGGCGGGGCCGAAGCCCUAGGAGAGGCAUAUCUACAAGGACCAGUCCCUUUCCGGACAAUGAUAUUCUGUCCUUUGGGACUAGUGCUUCAGCGAAUCAGGUCAGGUCAGGAAUGAAAUAAGUGAAGAACUUACAUUAGGCAGCCUUAAGCUUUAGCAUUGGUGCUCAGAGGGUAGCGGAAUUAAGGAAGGAGAGGGAUUAAAGCUGGAACUCUACGAUGUGUCCAUUUUAGGGCCUGCCUGCUU